This 95-nucleotide non-coding RNA is filed under the name uncultured Blautia sp. Lineage: Bacteria; Bacillati; Bacillota; Clostridia; Lachnospirales; Lachnospiraceae. The record is from RNAcentral.
AAAAGGGGUGCUUGCUUUAAGUAGGCUGAGAGUAAGCUAGUGUGCUUUAACCCAUGACCUGAUUUGGAUAAUGCCAACGUAGGGACAUAAAGUAU